This 452-nucleotide ribosomal RNA is filed under the name uncultured bacterium. RNAcentral's name for it is "bacterial SSU rRNA". It matches the Rfam family "Bacterial small subunit ribosomal RNA", at positions 354 to 796 of the family's 1533-position model. The record is from RNAcentral.
GUCGAGGAUCAUUCGCAAUGCGCGAAAGCGUGACGAUGCGACGCUGCGUGGAGGAUGAAGGCCUUCGGGUUGUAAACUCCUGUCAUUCGGGAACAGUGCCGCAGGUGCUAAUACCAUCUGUGGAGAGAUAGUACCGAAGGAGGAAGCCACGGCUAACUCUGUGCCAGCAGCCGCGGUAAUUCAGAGGUGGCGAGCGUUGUUCGGAUUUACUGGGCGUAAAGGGUGCGUAGGUGGUUCCGCGUGUCGAACGUGAAAUCCUGCUGCCUAACGGCAGAACUGCGUCCGAAACUGUGGAGCUAGAGUACAGGAGGGGAAAGCGGAAUUCUCGGUGUAGCGGUGGAAUGCGUUGAUAUCGAGAGGAACGCCAGUGGCGAAGGCGGCUUUCUGGAAUGUAACUGACACUGAGGCACGAAAGUUGGGGGAGCAAACAGGAUUAGAAACCCGUGUAGUCC